Molecule: ribosomal RNA, 391 nt
Filed under: uncultured bacterium
Lineage: Bacteria
Description: bacterial SSU rRNA
Rfam family: Bacterial small subunit ribosomal RNA
Source: RNAcentral
GACGAACGCUGACGGUGUGCUUUAGACAUGCAAGUCGAACGAGAAAGCCCUUCGGGUUAGUAAAGUGGCGAACGGGUGAGUAACACGUGGGCAAUCUGCCCCUCGCAGGGGGACGAACCGGAGGAAACUCCGGCUAAUACCCCGUAAGUUCAAAGGGAGGCAUCUCUCUUCGAAGAAAGGUAGCUUCGGCCAUCCGGCGAGGGAUGAGCCCGCGGUGCAUUAGCUGGUUGGUGGGGUAACGGCCUACCAAGGCGACGAUGCAUAGCUGGUCUGAGAGGAUGAUCAGCCACACUGGGACUGAGACACGGCCCAGACUCCUACGGGAGGCAGCAGUCGGGAAUCUUGCGCAAUGGGCGAAAGCCUGACGCAGCAACACCGUGUGUGUGAGGAA